UCAGAAGGCCAUGUGACCGCUGUAACUCAUGAUGCCAGCCGGGCCACAGUGAGUUUACUCUAGAUCAGCUCUUGGUUUCUGCUUUCCUGAAUGUCCUAACAUUCUUUGGUGCUUUUCCACUACUGAGCCAACUUUCGAAUUUAAUUUCAUGGAAGUCCUCCUGGAUGUGUUAAGAGCCCUUCGGCGUGUGUAAACUGACGGCACCCUUGCAGGAGAGCAUUACCUAGCCCUUCAUGAAGCCACCUCCGGCUCGCAGGAUUGUAACUCAAGGCGCCAGAGCAGGAACGCAGCCCAACAGAAAGCACCUGUAAUCUCUGAGAGAAGGAGAAAGACCGCGCGGCUGUGUUUGAAUGAGUCUCAGGGACCUGGGGUCAUGAAAGUCUUCUCCGUCUUGAUUGACUUUUUGACACCUUUGUCUAGGGUUAUCUGGGAAGCAAUGCAGGAAAAGCCAACUCAGCCCCUCAAGAGCAGUCAUGGUGAUGACGACUCAGAUCGCAAGUCUUGUCAAGCCAAAUUCACAUGGGUGUCAAUGGCAUCUUAAUAAAGAUUCCCGAUGGCCUUUCCAGCUGAUUGUAAAUAGUCUAGAGCAGUUGUCCAGCUUAGAGAGUCACAACAGGGUCUUUCUGACCAAUCUGCUGGGGGCUGAGGGCCUCUGUACUGUUUACCACCUAAAAAGUUACUGAAUAGUUCAUUUCUCUCUACCUUCUCCUCCCUUUUUAGUGUGUUUUUUUUUUUUUUUUUUGUCUUUUUCAUUUUUAUUGGUACCAGGGAUUGAACUCACAACUGCCUGCUUACAAAGCAGGCGCUCAUGCCGCUGAGCUAAAUCCCCAGCCCCCCUUUUUAGUGUUUGUGGCCAGGAAGCCUGGACCUCACAGGUGCCCUGCAAGCACUAUGACCACACUGCAUCCCCAGCCUUGUUUUGGUCUUCACCAGACCUCAGCCCCCAGCCUUCCUCCCUCCGCUUCCUAGCAGCCAGGAUAGACUACCGUGAGCUUCCACACAGCACUCUGCACCUUACGGUGUUUUGUAUCAGAGGCGUGGCUGUCACCAGCAGUGCUUGUGAGGUGCCCAGUGAGUCGUUGGCUGUGAAGUCCCUCGGAGAGCUCUCAGCAAAGCCCUUGGCCACUCGAGCUGCCACCAUUUCCCACACUCCCUCCCUCCCCCUGAUGAAUCAUGGAUGCUUGCAACAGCUCGUGACAUUAAAUCAUCAGAAGAAAACCGGGAGGAAAAAAGGAAGAAAAACAAUCUUUUCUUGAAAAUUGGUUUUUAAGUUAGAAAUUAGCUAGAACUGCUUUGGAUGUCUAGGUCUUAGCUUAAGCAAUGGCCAGCCCCUUCCAGAACUCUGAUUUGCAUGCCUAGCACACACCCCACGCUCAGCCUGGCUGCCUCCCGAGAGCACCUCAGAACUGGUGCCCAGAAUUCUUUUUCUCUAGCGGAGAUCCCUGGAGGAGCCCCAUGCUCUGGACUCUCCCACCCUGUGCAGGCAAUGCCUUUCUUAGUAAGUCUGUGAGAAUUAAUGAGUCAGAGGGCGUGGACUAGCUCUGAGUACUUGGAGACUGGUGGCCGGACUCUGUGACUUCACACAGGAAACCUCAAAGAGAGCAGAAAUGAUGCUGGUCCCACAGGACUCGGUUCUUGAAGGAACUUCUCAAAGCCCUGUUAACUCUACGGCUUCCUACCGGAAGGUGCAAAAGCAGGACUAGGACUGUAGCCAGGAGCACAGCCCUGGCCUACCCUGUGUGAGGUCCUGGUUUAACAUUCAGCUUUAAAGACAAAAGGGUUUAGAAAACAGCCUAUUGUCCUAUUGAGCAUAGUUUUUAAAUAUAUUUUGUGCUUUACAUGAUCAAUACAGAAUAUGUAUAUUUAUUCAUAAUUUAGGUGCAUAUGGAUGCUAUGAAACAUAAAAAUAUGAAUUGAAGAAAACAAGAUGAAGAAAGAAGUUAAAUAAAUAAUGA
Long non-coding RNA from Cavia porcellus (domestic guinea pig), 1955 nucleotides. RefSeq lists it as uncharacterized. The transcript is spliced from 3 exons. Lineage: Eukaryota; Metazoa; Chordata; Mammalia; Rodentia; Caviidae. The record is from RefSeq and is a predicted model, not a curated record.